Pelodiscus sinensis (Chinese soft-shelled turtle) is the source of this 2651-nucleotide non-coding RNA. The record is from RefSeq and is a predicted model, not a curated record. Lineage: Eukaryota; Metazoa; Chordata; Testudines; Trionychidae.
GUCCAGCACGAGGUUCAGCUCACAUGAUGGCACUGGAUUCCUACGUGGGGAAUAUAGGUUCCGUAUUCCUUUCCAAAAUCUCUUGACAAAUAAGUGGGGAAAAAUGGAAUACCCGUGUAUGGGUGUGUGAAUCACUGAUAUAGCUGCUAAAUGUAUAUUGAUGGAAUUAACUGAUAAUACUGUGUUCUGCAGGAUAUAUUCCAGUCAGGAUAUCACCCCAUCUUUGUGUGGCUCCUGCGUGUGAGCCGAAUUCCAUGCUGCAUACCUAGCUCGCUUCUGCAGGUAUGCAGCUACCGUGGAUAAUACUUUGGAAAAGACUCUAGGUGGUAUGGACAGCCCAAAGGGGAGCAUCCUGUACUGAUAUUUUAAGUCCUUGAUAGUGAACCUGAGGAAUCAUCUGUGAGCUGGGUGAAUAGAUACAUGAAAAUAUGCAUCCUUCAGGUCGAGGGUAGCUAAUCAUCUCCUUUCUCUAAGGCAGGUGGCUAUAUUCCUGGUGGCUAUAUUCCUAAUGUGCGGAACUUUGCCGUGGAGUCCUUCAGUGCGUGGAGAGCUGAGUUUGAUGACUCUGGAAAUAGUUUCUCACCCUCAAAUGGCUGAUUCUCAAUGUUUGAUUGAACCUCCCUGGGGAAUCCCAACAGCUGCAGUCUGACAUCCAUCUCAUCACUACUGCCAAUGGCAUCAACCUGGCCGCUGUGUCUGCUGCAUCUAAUGCUGCCUGUAGAGCUGUUGAGAGAUUAAUGAUCGAUCCUUCUCUGAUAUUUGAUUUGAACUGCUCCCUUACAUCCUCAGGCGCCGAUGCAGGAGUUUUCCAGAUGGACUUGGCAGGAUCUAUCAAGUCUUCAUUCAUUGGUAAAGCCAGCCUGGUAUGUUGAGGUAAGCUGAGUGUGCUCGUGAGUUUGUGUUUGUUCUGUGUUACGUCGGAGAUUUUUUUUUAUGGCAAGUGUGUCUGCUACUCUCCUGAGUAAAUCUUGGAACCCUCUGGAGUCAACCCCUCUGACUGGUAAUGCAGGGAGACUGUGUUCCUCCAUCAUGGAAUAGGAAGUAUUGGGCUGAACAGAGGAAGCCUGUGUUUCCUCCUCCAUAGAUGACUCGGUCCCAGUCAGCUCAUUUUCAGCUGUGUCCCAGGAUAGUGUGUUGGGUCCAGUAAGAUGCACAGGAGUCUGAAUAGGCCCACUGUGGAGGAAUCGAUGGAGAAAUCCACUGUGUCCACUGCCAUUUCUGCAUUUGGUGUUGUUGUGGUUCUGCAUAUGGAGGACUCUGUGCUGGCCCUUUCCUCCCUGUCAUCACUAAAUCUGGUGGAUAUUUGUGAUGCUGGUGUCAAGGAGAACAGGGAACAUUUGGACUGUGGCGUGCUGUUGGUAACAAAUAGUGGUGAACAUGGUACUGAUGCUACUAUGAGGUCGACCUCUUAUGAACCUCGGUACCAGAGUACGUGGAGGCAUUGCUAUGUAUUUCCUUAUAGCUGCCUGCGUCUCUACUGUUGGCGCUUUGAAAUGUGCCAGUACUGGCGGUACCAAGCAUUUAUUCAAAUGCAGCAUUCUACUGCUCUUCAGCUUGCCAACUUGUUUGUUCCUCAGCAGAACCAUGUUCUCCACUGGUGCCACAUUACUGUGGGGAGAGCUUGAAGCAUGGCCUGCAGCUCCAUGCUUCAUAUUGGGUCAUGGCUUUUCUUUAAGCUGGAUCCCCUGUCCUGCUUUUGGGAGCUCUGCCUACUGGCAUUCUUACCAGCCUCCUUUGUCUUUGUUAGAGGCUGAGGCACAGCAGGGUAUUGGGAGUAUUUUGUGCUCCACUCUGGGUGCUGUCCUCUAGCACAUUCCUACUAGGGAAUGCUCCUCCUUCCCAAGAGGGUUCCCCCCUGGGAGAGUGGGACGGAGGGGUGAAUGAGGCUGUGACUCAGCCAUGUUGUGGUCCAAGAAUAAUAGCCUUCUUUGUAGGUCUCGCUUCCUUAGAGCAUGGGGUGAGCUUUUGACAGUGUGGGCAGUGACUGAUGGGAUAGUCUUGCCCUAGGCAGCACAGACACUGCUUGUGUCCGUCUGCUGCUGUGACUGCUGUUCUGCACCCUGUGCACCUUGUAAAGCCCAGUGGUGCGGGCAUGACUUUUUUUCUUCUUGUGCUAUCCUAUGGGCCAGCGGGAUGUGGCAGAAACACCUGCGUGGCACUUGGCCCACUUCUCUUGCUGUUAUCCUUUUCCUUUUUUUAAAUCUUCUCUCUUCUCCACCCUUCCCCCCCCGAUGCUGUUAGGGAGACUAAGUGCAACUGAUGCCCGCGGUGGUUGAGAAGGAACUGAGGGAGGCUGCUGGCGUGUCUGUCAAUCUGAGUGAUUGUGCAAUAGCACAGCACACGCCAGCAGCUGGGGGACUGCUAACAAAGAUCUCUGGGCCGUGUGCACAGCAGUGCUGACACACGUAAGUGGAGCACCAACAGUGAUCCCCAAACAUAAGAAUACAGUCAAAUUGUCAAACCUUCCCACAGUAGGUCAGCGCCAUUUUUCAGAGAUACAGCAUCUUCCACCAUAUUUUCUUUUCCCUUUAUAUGCACAAUUUCUAUAUUAGUUCUUUUUCUGCUACAAUCUAUUUUAAGUUUUGUAUAAGCUAUUAUAAAGAAUAAUAUUGUAAUAAUUUAAGUACUUUGUGUUUUAUGAUUAUGUUUCA